UAAGGAAUAUUGGGCAAUGGAGGCAACUCUGACCCAGCCAUCCCGCGUGAAGGAUUAAGGCCCUAUGGGUUGUAAACUUCUUUUGUUUGGGAAGAAAUCAGGACAUUUAUGUGCUGUUGACGGUACCUUACGAAUAAGCACCGGCUAACUCCGUGCCAGCAGCCGCGGUAAUACGGAGGGUGCAAGCGUUAUCCGGAAUCACUGGGUUUAAAGGGUGCGUAGGCGGUUUGAUAAGUCAGAGGUGAAAGCUAGCAGCUUAACUGUUAAAUUGCCUUUGAUACUGUCAGACUUGAAUCAAGUUGAGGUAGGCGGAAUGUGACAUGUAGCGGUGAAAUGCAUAGAUAUGUCAUAGAACACCAAUUGCGUAGGCAGCUUGCUGGGCUUGAAUUGACGCUGAGGCACGAAAGCGUGGGGAUCAAACA
Molecule: ribosomal RNA, 422 nt
Filed under: uncultured Haliscomenobacter sp.
Lineage: Bacteria; Pseudomonadati; Bacteroidota; Saprospiria; Saprospirales; Haliscomenobacteraceae
Description: partial 16S ribosomal RNA
Rfam family: Bacterial small subunit ribosomal RNA
Source: RNAcentral